Molecule: long non-coding RNA, 2262 nt
Organism: Xenopus laevis (African clawed frog)
Lineage: Eukaryota; Metazoa; Chordata; Amphibia; Anura; Pipidae
Exons: 10
Source: RefSeq, a predicted model, not a curated record
UCAUAGCAGCCCCUCUGGCAUUUGCCAGAACCCACAGAUUGCCAGUCCGGGCCUGCUUGGGGCAACACAGAAGUCCCUAGAGCAACUAAUGCCCAAUUAAUGCAGUUUUCUUUACCCUUGGACUAUCUUGAUUUGGAGCCUUGACUUGCACAUCUAUAAGAUCCUUGGAAAUUAGAAAUGCAGAGCCCAAUGAGAACCAGAACAAAGUGAAGCCACUAACUAAAUCAUUUACAUCAACCACCAUCAUCUGCUACUGCUACUGUUAUGAAGAGAAGUUGAGAUCGUGGGUGAGUGCUCAGAAAGGCUCUGUUGAGAGGAGAGUCCGGCUGGAAAGGAAAGAACAGCUGAUGGGAUUGAAUUCUGCAUCCUGAAACAAUCCAAGCAUAUAAGGUCAAUGACGCUUGAUGGAGACUGACUAAGUAUUUGUGAGCACGAAACACACACAAUCAACUUUUUCUACUCUUUGUUGAACAACCUGAUGGAAGAUUGCCUUUAUUCUGAGUGCCUGCUCCAUUGAUAUUUUCUGUUGAUGGAGACUGCCAGUAGAGCCUGGGAAAACUCACCCAGUUUGCCAGAGCAGAAUUCACCAGCAGGCCCUGGCUCAGGAAUUCAGCCACCGUCUAGCGUGGGAGCCUCCACCGGGGUCAACUACAGCUCAUUUGGAGAUGUGUCAAUGCCACCCAUGCCUGUUGCUUUAGUUGCACCAUCUGCCUCCAUGCCAGGUUCUAGGUGUACAUGCAGCCGAGUCUUUCUCAGCCCAGUGCCAUGGUACUGACCAGUGAUACAGACCUCAAGCCUCCAUAUAACCCUUUCCCUGGCAUGCAAACACUGGAAAUGAACACAACCCAGGCCACAUCCCUUUUAUCAGUCCCUGAAUGGAAGCCAGCAGAUGGUGUAUGAAAGCCAGCUUAAUCAGGCCUCCCAGAUGAUGGGCUCACAGCUCACACAGGGCCACCAUCAUGGGGGCACAGUCAUCCCGGGCCUAGUGGAUUUCAACUUACAAGGGGGGCCCAGGGAAGAAGAAUCUGUUGCUGUCGCUGGAGAAGGGUGAAGGAGCCGCUGGAUAAGAUGCCACCCUAGGAGAGUGAAGAAGUAUUUGCUGCUGAACUUUAGAGGAAAUUUUUACUGAACCCCAAUGUUUCUUUUUCCCUUAACCACCAAUAUCUUCACCAUUCCGUAGGGGUCCUGUUCACCAAUCCUUGAAUAUCUGGAGAAAGAAGUAUUUACUAACAACCUCACCGCCCACUGCCCAGUUCAACACUACCAGCCGCUGACUGAUUGGACCUCACCACGGUGCUACCUCCUGUCUCCAUUCAGACCUCGGUGAUGCACAGACCUGGGACAUGUCUAUACUUUUCUGGCUUUGUUAUGUCUGUAUGUGCCAGUGGGUACAUCAGUAUACAGGCUACAUUCCAUGAUAGGGAAUGGAGGGAGAUUCCCAGGAAUGACCAUUAGAAACAGAAUCUCCAGCCCAGUGUAAGAAUGCUUGGUGGAGCAGCUGUACCCACAGGAGGACUGGCAUGUGUCACACACAGAUGAAGGAGUAUCACAGAAGGCGACCAUUCCAGCACCAACGGGAGGAAAGUCCAAAGAAUGUGAUCCUGAUAACCCGUCACAGCUCUCUCCAGAGCCAACUGAGAAUCACUGCAGCCAGAUUUCCAGCAUGACACGCUCCAGUUACUGUUGAACUACAAAUCUCACAAUCCCUGGAUGUUGUUGGGAGAUAAGAAUCCCAGGCAGCAUAAAAGAAGAAGAUGAUUGGUUGAAGAAUGGGAUGGUAUAUUCCACUGUCUCACAGCAGGGGGGUUCAUUGAUGGUAAUGUUCCAGCCAUGAGACGUCUAUUCCGUUUAUGAAACAGAAAGGUAAAAUUCAACCAUUAUUCAUUAUAUUCUCCUAAAAUCCCAGCUUGAAGGUCAGUUAAAGUGAGAUUUGGGUAAAAGCUAAUAGUUACAUACGACUGUAACCUUGUUAUGAGCAAAGGGGGCAGGUCAAAUGUUGUGUCUCAAAGAGGGGCUUGAAGUCUGAAAUCUACUGAUCUAGAGAUACUGGUCCUUAUUUCUGUAGGUAAAUGAGAGCAAAGCAGGCAUCCAACACUUUCCCCUUCUCUCUAUCUCUAUAUAUUAGGUACCGACCUGGUGCUACCAACCCCUAUUUCUGCAGGGUAAUUAGAGCAGGCAGUGACUCUCAAUUCCCUGUAUAACUCAGCCUGCAGCCUUGUGCCUUUAUAUGGUCACAGAACCCCUCAGUGACUUCUAAUAUCC